Molecule: non-coding RNA, 157 nt
Filed under: Hyphomicrobiales bacterium
Lineage: Bacteria; Pseudomonadati; Pseudomonadota; Alphaproteobacteria; Hyphomicrobiales
Description: 6S RNA
Rfam family: 6S / SsrS RNA
About the family: E. coli 6S RNA was the first non coding RNA to be sequenced, but its function was unknown until recently. It consists of 184 nucleotides that fold into an extended hairpin structure with a large single-stranded internal bulge.
Source: RNAcentral
GCGGUGCUGCGGGGUGCGUGAGAACAACUGUAUUCCCGGGGCCUUAACGAUCCUUAGGGAGCUGUCCCUGUUUUGGUCCGUGGACCGGAGCACACGGCGCCCACCUACUUAUGUAGGCACCUGGGAUCGAUCGUUCCACGGCUUUUGCGGCUCCGCA